Molecule: ribosomal RNA, 497 nt
Filed under: uncultured bacterium
Lineage: Bacteria
Description: partial 16S ribosomal RNA
Rfam family: Bacterial small subunit ribosomal RNA
Source: RNAcentral
GAUGAACGCUGGCGGCGUGCCUAAUACAUGCAAGUCGAGCGAACGGACGAGAAGCUUGCUUCUCUGAUGUUAGCGGCGGACGGGUGAGUCACACGUGGAUAACCUACCUAUAAGACUGGGAUAACUUCGGGAAACCGGAGCUAAUACCGGAUAAUAUUUUGAACCGCAUGGUUCAAAAGUGAAAGACGGUCUUGCUGUCACUUAUAGAUGGAUCCGCGCUGCAUUAGCUAGUUGGUAAGGUAACGGCUUACCAAGGCAACGAUGCAUAGCCGACCUGAGAGGGUGAUCGGCCACACUGGAACUGAGACACGGUCCAGACCCCUACGGGAGGCAGCAGUAGGGAAUCUUCCGCAAUGGGCGAAAGCCUGACGGAGCAACGCCGCGUGAGUGAUGAAGGUCUUCGGAUCGUAAAACUCUGUUAGUAGGGAAGAACAUAUGUGUAAGUAACUGUGCACAUCUUGACGGUACCUAAUCAGAAAGCCACGGCUAACUACGUG